RNAcentral lists this small RNA (131 nucleotides) under Klebsiella huaxiensis. RNAcentral's name for it is "RtT sRNA". It matches the Rfam family "RtT RNA". From Rfam's summary of the family: This family represents a bacterial cis-regulatory element known as RtT RNA. Lineage: Bacteria; Pseudomonadati; Pseudomonadota; Gammaproteobacteria; Enterobacterales; Enterobacteriaceae. RNAcentral also lists the same sequence under 4 other names. The record is from RNAcentral.
AUUCUGCCCAUACGGGGAAGGAUGAGAAGCUUCGACCAAGGUUCGAUUCGAGCGUAGCGAGAAAGCGUUGCCGCAGGCAACGACCCGAAGGGCGAGGAGCAUCGCGACGAGUCAUCCUUCCCCCACCACCA